This is a long non-coding RNA of Daphnia pulicaria, 703 nucleotides long. RefSeq lists it as uncharacterized. The transcript has 2 exons. Lineage: Eukaryota; Metazoa; Arthropoda; Branchiopoda; Diplostraca; Daphniidae. The record is from RefSeq and is a predicted model, not a curated record.
UCUUGAUGUGAAGCACUCAGCAUUAACGCGCAUUAACGGAAAACGCUCGUCAACAGUAACAGCUACUUGUGAAUUUCAAAAUCUUUAACAGUUGGAUUUAGGAAGAAGCCCCUUUCAAUUUUGAGUGUUAAAUCAGUUCUUAAUAUGGCCUGCUGUUUUUCAAGCAUGUUUUCUAAAGUAACUCACAUCGCUAACGGAUACCACGAAGACAUCUACGCCCGAGUUUAUGUUGAAAAAGGAAAAAAAAGAAAACAACAACUGAAUUUGAUAAUCCCAGGAGAAGAGAGCACCGAAACCGGAACGAAAGAGACUAGAGAAUUCAUAGAAGCCAAUAAAGAUUAUUCUAGGAUUGGUUCCGGUUAUCAUCUUAAAUUCUACACCGAUGGCCCUCUGCCAUGCAGCCACAGUUUACGUAUCAAUCGUCUUGAUGAGUUCAAACGGAAAAUUCACAUGCAAAAACCAUCCUAUCAAAGUAAACCGCAGUGUCAUAGUCGAUCAAAAGGGUUAUCUCGUCAUGGCCAAAUACUCAACAGGUCCUUUUGGCGAGAGCAGUAUUUGGAAGGAUGAAGACGGCAAGAAUCAUCAAAAAAACCAAUAGGAUCAGCAAAUCUAUAGAUAUCGGGUGAAUAUCCUAAGCUAUAUUAAUAACUUGAUUCAAAUUCAUUUGAAUAAAGUGACCAGAAUACACUGAAAUCAAAUCAUA